This 949-nucleotide ribosomal RNA is filed under the name Streptococcus thermophilus. Its description in RNAcentral is "bacterial SSU rRNA". It matches the Rfam family "Bacterial small subunit ribosomal RNA", at positions 40 to 971 of the family's 1533-position model. The record is from RNAcentral. Lineage: Bacteria; Bacillati; Bacillota; Bacilli; Lactobacillales; Streptococcaceae.
CGUACGAGUGCUAUACUGCAAGUAGAACGCUGAAGAGAGGAGCUUGCUCUUCUUGGAUGAGUUGCGAACGGGUGAGUAACGCGUAGGUAACCUGCCUUGUAGCGGGGGAUAACUAUUGGAAACGAUAGCUAAUACCGCAUAACAAUGGAUGACACAUGUCAUUUAUUUGAAAGGGGCAAUUGCUCCACUACAAGAUGGACCUGCGUUGUAUUAGCUAGUAGGUGAGGUAAUGGCUCACCUAGGCGACGAUACAUAGCCGACCUGAGAGGGUGAUCGGCCACACUGGGACUGAGACACGGCCCAGACUCCUACGGGAGGCAGCAGUAGGGAAUCUUCGGCAAUGGGGGCAACCCUGACCGAGCAACGCCGCGUGAGUGAAGAAGGUUUUCGGAUCGUAAAGCUCUGUUGUAAGUCAAGAACGGGUGUGAGAGUGGAAAGUUCACACUGUGACGGUAGCUUACCAGAAAGGGACGGCUAACUACGUGCCAGCAGCCGCGGUAAUACGUAGGUCCCGAGCGUUGUCCGGAUUUAUUGGGCGUAAAGCGAGCGCAGGCGGUUUGAUAAGUCUGAAGUUAAAGGCUGUGGCUCAACCAUAGUUCGCUUUGGAAACUGUCAAACUUGAGUGCAGAAGGGGAGAGUGGAAUUCCAUGUGUAGCGGUGAAAUGCGUAGAUAUAUGGAGGAACACCGGUGGCGAAAGCGGCUCUCUGGUCUGUAACUGACGCUGAGGCUCGAAAGCGUGGGGAGCGAACAGGAUUAGAUACCCUGGUAGUCCACGCCGUAAACGAUGAGUGCUAGGUGUUGGAUCCUUUCCGGGAUUCAGUGCCGAAGCUAACGCAUUAAGCACUCCGCCUGGGGAGUACGACCGCAAGGUUGAAACUCAAAGGAAUUGACGGGGGCCCGCACAAGCGGUGGAGCAUGUGGUUUAAUUCGAAGCAACGCGAAGAACCU